This 365-nucleotide ribosomal RNA is filed under the name Abacarus sp. HN234_1. Its description in RNAcentral is "partial small subunit ribosomal RNA". The record is from RNAcentral. Lineage: Eukaryota; Metazoa; Arthropoda; Arachnida; Trombidiformes; Eriophyidae.
CUUUUAAAAAGAGCGACGGGCGAUUUGUGCAUACCUACUUUCAUUUUUUAAACCAAAUUUUUAUUUGUUGAUUUAGGUUAUAAGUCCUUUUUCAGAAAAUUUUACUCUCAUCGUCUAAUAUUUUUAUCUUACGUAUCCCAUACCUUUCUUACUUAUUUGCUCUGUCUUGAUUUGUUUUUUUAUCUUUUGAUAAGAUAAAGUCUUUCUUUUAAAUUCUUUUUAAAACAAUGAUAUAGAAGCUUAGAAUGUAAGUUCAAUUUAUCGUGGUUUAUCUAUUAUAUAACAGGAUCCCCUAUUAAGAUUAAGUACCGCCAUCUUUUUCUAACUUUUGUUUGUUUAACUACUAUUUUUCUUUCUAUAUAAAA